This 1191-nucleotide long non-coding RNA is filed under the name Setaria viridis. RNAcentral's name for it is "long non-coding RNA (SVIR_LNC004481)". The record is from RNAcentral. Lineage: Eukaryota; Viridiplantae; Streptophyta; Magnoliopsida; Poales; Poaceae.
UUUAUACCCCAAGGCUCAAAAACUAGCCGUUGGCACUCUGAUCAGACUGGUCUAGCUGACCGGUCUAUAUUGAAAACUAGUCGUUGCCCCGAAGACCGGUCUGACCGGUCUGGCUGGGACAACCCCAAAUCUUCCAAGACUUACCCUUGUUUGACCCAAAGGAUAGGCUAACCCUAGUUAGAUGAAUUGAAACUUGUUUAGCUCACUCAGGGUAUCUCUCAUGGCAAAACUCUCAUAGGUCAACUAAGAGCACUUUUGGUGUUGUCAAUUAGCUAAUGUUGCAUCCCUUUUGAUAAUACGGCAUACCUAUACUCAAGAGUAAAUAUAAACACCAUAUCAUCCACUUGAGCUUAUAAGUCUUCAUUCUUGCCAUACUUUGAUCUUUAGUUACUUGAGGGCUUACAACAUAGUCUUCAACUUGGGCAUAUCCAUCUUGAGCUAGUGACUUAAGAUCCCCUUUUGUCCAUGAUAAAGUAUAUUUGAAUUCUUAAGCCACUCCAUUUUACCAACCAUAAUGGAUUAGAUGCAUUGCAUUGCUUCCCUCAGUAAGGCCUAUAAAUGAUAUCUUGAAACCCCCUGAUACUAGCCGCUUCACCCUAACAAAAUGCACAUGGCCCAAGCCGUCGCUUGUCCAAAGGUUGCUUAGUCCCUCACCUCUAGCACCUCGUUUGAUUUCUUCACCCAUUCUUGCCACUUUGAGUUUAGCUUUUCUUUGACAUCAACAAUGAAAUCUCAUUUGAAAUUCUCUUCAAAUGCUUGUUCUAGAUUGUAAAGAAUCUCUCAUGAAUUGCAAGCUUCCACUAAUAAAACCAAUGUGUAGAUCAUAUGCUCAUGUCUUUUAACAUGUCCUCAUGAAGUCUUGCAAUUGUCCUUCUAUGAAUAUUUUUGUACUUUUCUUAAUGACCCCUUUUCUUUUGAUCAAACAAGCUAUCACAUGUCUUGGGAAAUUAUAGAUCAAUCAUUAUGAAACACAUCCUCAAGCUUCAUUCUACUCUUGCUUUAUUAUUGUUCUUUUAUUUGUGCCAUGGGAUCACACACUUGCUUGCUAUCUUCAUUGAGAGCCAUACUCAUUCACCUCAUAAGUCAAUAUUACAACAUGAGUAUAAGAAUAAAAAAACCUGCUCACAAUCUUAGGCGAACAAGUUAGUCCUUUAAUCGUUUUGUCAUUCAAUUCACCAAAACCUACUUAGG